CCCACCUCCCCGUCCUUCCUGCGGGAACAGGGAAGCUAAUUACCACCACGUCCACUAUCGUACGUUGGGACAAAACAACAGUCUCCAGCCGGGGGGGCAGAACAAUGGAUGAGUGUCAGUGCUCAGCUGAUGACGGAGUGAGACCUCUCCUGAUGGAACCAGACCAGCAUGUGAUCGCCGUCAUCAUCAAUUACAGUGAAUCAUCAUCAUCAUAAUUAUUAUUAUUAUUAUUAUUAUUAUUAUUUCUGCUGGGAGCUGCACUUCCUGCCUGUGGGCUUCCGAUCGGAUUACACUCGGGCUUUUAAUCUGACAGCUGAGUCAGAAAAACACUUAGGGGGCCACAUUUCAAAACAAAAGCCCCGGAGGGCAGGAACUACACCACCACCACGUCUUCUCCUCCUGUCGGGAUGCGACUGGCAUCGGGCCUGAACGUCACUUUACAACUUUCCCCUGGAUGGAGUCUGAGCCAAAAGAGCAUCAGAGCCACUUCCGAGUCAUUACCCUCUUUUGGCUUUGCAAACAUAUUGCACAAAUAUGUCAAUGCUGCACAACAACAACAACAACAAAAAGAAAAAGAAAAGAAAAAGCUUGCAAACACAGACCAUGCCAUCAAUAUUGUUGGGGGUGCGCUCACCUCGCGGGGCCGUCCCCUGCUGAGAAGUCUCUUCUGUGCUUGGACAGGUAUUGGAUUCUUGGAAAGGUCCCGAGCGCAGAGGCGGGCCCGCUGAUCAAUAGAGAAAAAAAGACGAAAGCUUCUCCACUAAUGCAGCUGCAAUUAUAAAAAAUCUGGGAUGCAGAAGCAAAAUAAGCAUUUUUCCAAAUUGCGAAAAAUGAUCAAGGUGUGUUUUUUUUCUUCAAUUUUGGGCAAAAAUGAUUUUGUGUCAUGACCUUCGAUGACCGUAAGAAACGUGUUUCAUUUCAAACAAGAACCCAAUUGUCUUUGAUUCUCAAAUGUUCUGCUGGUGCAUGGAUUAUAAUAAAGUAAAGUAACGUAA
This is a long non-coding RNA of Scophthalmus maximus (turbot), 995 nucleotides long. RefSeq lists it as uncharacterized. The record is from RefSeq and is a predicted model, not a curated record. The transcript has 2 exons. Lineage: Eukaryota; Metazoa; Chordata; Actinopteri; Pleuronectiformes; Scophthalmidae.